UGGGACUUGAUUUGGGUCAUUGACUGGCUACACUUCAAGGGUAUUUUGUCAAAACUACAAGUCAAAAAACAAUUGAUAUUUUGAUGAGGAUUACCAUGAAUGUAUUUGCUUUAUGAAAGUAGAACUGGCCAUCACUUUUUUGAGAACUGUGUAUAGAUAUUAUUUUGCUACAUUUUAAUAUUGUGAUGAACCAAAUUUGAUAGGAAAUGCCGGCUGACCGAUAUAUGAAGCUAGAUUGCCACUGACUGUGUAUAUGAAAAAUCGUCUCUCUCCAUAACAAAGAAAAAAGAAAAAUGUUGUAUUUCUCUUUUCAGAUCCCUAAGUAAAUAAGCUUUAGAAGAAUGAAGAACCAGUUGGAGAAACCAGCAUUAUUGUAAAAUGGCAAAAAGAAUUCAGUGUAAGAAUUGGAAGACUGCCAAUGAAAGAUCCUUGAAUGACUAAGCAUUACAAGUAUGAAGAUCCUGUGGCAGAGAUCCAACCUUAUAUAAAAUGGUGUUGGUGCAUUUUUUCUUCAGUGAACCUUAUGAACAUCACAUAAGUUAAGGCUGAACAAAUUCUAUGCAAGAAUUGGGAGAACGUGACCAAUGAAAGAUCCCUAAAUGAAUAUGGAUUAGAAGAAUGAAGAACCAGUCAGAGAAAGCAACUUUGUGAAAUGAAGAUGGUGUGUCUUCCAUGAACUUGGAAAUUUAAGAUCAGUUCUGGAGAAGCAGACCAUCUAUAAAAAGAAAAUGGAUGUAUUCUCUUCGGUGUUUAUUGCAGUCCUGAGUAUUUUAAGAUUGGUAUGUGUCCAAAAGUAAGUGGAAUGUAAGUAUGUAAUGUUAGAAUCGGCUUUAUUGGGGGAAAGUUUUAGUGACUUCAGUGCUUUUGUAUUCAUUUUCCAAAAUUAUUUAUUACAGUAACAGAUUAGUGCUCUUUCAUGAUAUGAAUAUUAUAAAAUACAACCAUGUGGGUGUAUGUAUGGCAUGCAGCCAAAUUAGCUUUGCAGCCACCCUGCCGGCUCAAGCCCAUCAUGCCAGACGAAUACCAAGCAGGGCUGGAGGCUAAGUGUUGCUAACUACGAACAGUAUUGACUAGUGUCCCCCAUAUUGUUAACUAAAAUGAUAAUUUUGGGGAGGAACUAGCAUUGUUUAUAUAUAUAUAUAUAGGCAUAGCAUCAGCCUCCACCUAAAUUGUUUUAUAUGUAGAAGUCGAUAGGAUGAGUGGAAGUAUAAGUUGAAGUGAUUUAUGAAUAUCUGAAUCUCCUUAUUAUAUUUAAGGUUCAGUAGUUAGUUAAUAAACUAACCAAAAACAGUACAUUUCCCCAAAAUGCUGCAUUUUGAACUUGCUAUUGUGAAAUUGAUAGAAUGCCUUAUAUGAUGUAGCUUAUGAUUAAUAAAAUAUG
Molecule: long non-coding RNA, 1381 nt
Organism: Penaeus indicus
Lineage: Eukaryota; Metazoa; Arthropoda; Malacostraca; Decapoda; Penaeidae
Exons: 9
Source: RefSeq, a predicted model, not a curated record